AUGAGAGCGGCUCUGGAAAAGGGUCGCCUUGAGGGAAAUGGAGACGGACGUCGCCUGGUGCCAGGUUGAAGACCUGCAGCAGACACUUGCCCGCCGGCGCUGGCGCCACCUCCGUUUUCUACAACACGCAGCACACUAAUGGUCAGAGCAAACUUUGUGGUGGACGUACCACCACGUGGACCUCCACCAGGGCGGCGGCACCAAAUGCCAACGCGGCGAAAAUCAUCCCGGCGGCCAUUUUCCUCAGCGGCCUUUGGAAAAGGAGGAAGUUGAGCGCGUUAUUGUUUCAUAUCGUCAUUUUCAAAAAGUGACAAAAAGAACUCACGUGAUGUUGAUCCCGCAGAGGGCGACCAGCGGGUAUAUGAGGAGGUCGAACACGGGAACGAACACCAGAAUCAGCAGCGCGUUCAACGUCUACCACAGAGAAGGUGCGAGCGAGCGCAUACCUGCAUUUGAUCGGGUUUGAUGGAGAAGGCGUCUCCCUGGGAUGCAACACAAACAAAACUCAAUACAUGAUUAAUUUUUAACCCGAGAAAUCCAUCAGGAAGUUCAUCGAGCAAGAAAUUGGCGAGCGGAUGAUCCAUUCGGCUCGUAAAAAAAAAAAAGUUACAACGGGCAACGAUCGCAUGGAAGAUAACGAAGCGGAAGCAGCGAACUUACAAAGGCCAUGUUCAUCCGGGUGGCCUGCAGCGUCCAGCGGGAACCCUGGAAUCAAACAUCGCAUUGUUAGUGUCCUUCAAGCCACGUCGGAUCAACAAAUUGGAUUCCGGGACCUGCUGAUCGAACAGAGCCCAGAACAUCGGAAGAGGGAUGUAGAGCACCAGAACCCGCAGAACCAUUUUGAUCUCCACAAUCAGACGCUUCUGUUGACACAAGUCAAGGAAAUAAACAUUUAAAAAUGGGUCAAACACAGGCACAUUUUUUUUUGUCGUGUUGUCUUUUUUUUU
Phycodurus eques (leafy seadragon) is the source of this 947-nucleotide long non-coding RNA. RefSeq lists it as uncharacterized. NCBI's taxonomy places the organism in Eukaryota, Metazoa, Chordata, Actinopteri, Syngnathiformes, Syngnathidae. The record is from RefSeq and is a predicted model, not a curated record. The transcript is spliced from 3 exons.